Molecule: ribosomal RNA, 496 nt
Filed under: uncultured bacterium
Lineage: Bacteria
Description: partial 16S ribosomal RNA
Rfam family: Bacterial small subunit ribosomal RNA
Source: RNAcentral
GAUGAACGCUGGCGGCGUGCCUAAUACAUGCAAGUCGAGCGAACGGACGAGAAGCUUGCUUCUCUAAUGUUAGCGGCGGACGGGUGAGUAACACGUGGAUAACCUACCUAUAAGACUGGGAUAACUUCGGGAAACCGGAGCUAAUACCGGAUAAUAUUUUGAACCGCAUGGUUCAAAAGUGAAAGACGGUCUUGCUGUCACUUAUAGAUGGAUCCGCGCUGCAUUAGCUAGUUGGUAAGGUAACGGCUUACCAAGGCAACGAUGCAUAGCCGACCUGAGAGGGUGAUCGGCCACACUGGAACUGAGACACGGUCCAGACUCCUACGGGAGGCAGCAGUAGGGAAUCUUCCGCAAUGGGCGAAAGCCUGACGGAGCAACGCCGCGUGAGUGAUGAAGGUCUUCGGAUCGUAAAACUCUGUUAUUAGGGAAGAACAUAUGUGUAAGUAACUGUGCACAUCUUGACGGUACCUAAUCAGAAAGCCACGGCUAACUACGU